ACAAGCCUGAGAAACGGCUAGUAGGACUAAGGUCUGCAGCAGGCGCGAAACUUACACAAUGCUAGAUUUUUGAUAAUUAGCGAUGUAGUGAAGAAAAAUAACGAUGUACUUUCAUUCAAACAUGAUAGUACAAUUGGAAUGAGACGACUAUAAAUGAGUUAGUCGAGUAACAAAUGGAGGGCAAGUCUGGUGCCAGCAGCCGCGGUAAUUCCAGCUCCAUUAGCAUACAUUAAAGUUGUUGCGGUUAAAAAGCUCGUAGUUGAAUGUUAAGCGGGUUUUAUUGCUAAUAACCGCUAAGGAAUCUCCGGAUUCUGGUUAUUAUUGCAAUCUAAAGCCCGCCGUUUCGUCACUUAAUCGAGUGCGAAGCAGGGCGGAUCUAUGCGGUCGCAAGGCCGCUAGGCACGCCAAGUUUACCUUGAGAAAAUUAGAGUGCUCACAGCAGGCAGUUGAGGUGUAAAAGCUUCUUUAUGCUUGAAUAAUGUUGCAUGGAAUAAUAGAAUACGGCCUCGGUUCUAUUCUGUUGGUCUUAUAGAACAACAAACAAGUUGGAUGGGGCGUCAAUCGUUGCUUGAAAUGGGGGGUUUGUAAUAGUUAGUUGCCUUGGAAGUAAAAACCCAAGCGCCUUCUAGCACAAUCCUAUUCCAAACUCAUUUCAUGACCAGCGAGCUCAUUCUCCAACUGAGGCAAUGGUUAAAAGAAAUAGUCGCGGCGGCAUCAGUACUGCAUCGUGAGAG
This 734-nucleotide ribosomal RNA is filed under the name Calepitrimerus sp. 18sr85. Its description in RNAcentral is "partial 18S ribosomal RNA". It matches the Rfam family "Eukaryotic small subunit ribosomal RNA", at positions 389 to 910 of the family's 1831-position model. Lineage: Eukaryota; Metazoa; Arthropoda; Arachnida; Trombidiformes; Eriophyidae. The record is from RNAcentral.